AGGCCGUGCCCGGUGCUUAUUUG
RNAcentral lists this microRNA (23 nucleotides) under Drosophila ananassae. RNAcentral's name for it is "Dan-Mir-92-P4_5p* (star (passenger))". The record is from RNAcentral. Lineage: Eukaryota; Metazoa; Arthropoda; Insecta; Diptera; Drosophilidae.